CACAUAUCUUUUCCACUCAUUCCUGGAUUCUUGAGGAAGAUCCACUUAAAAUGCAAGUGUUAAAUACGGUGAUGGGGCCGGAUGGGCCUAGGGUGAUAAACACACUUAUUCUGAGCAUUGAUAGUUAUGCAUAGGACUGUAUGGGGCUGGCGUAGCCCCAGCGGCAUAGGUUCUACUGAGACCUAUCCCCAGAUGGGAGCCAUAAGCACAUGGGCAAUUGUACAGCCAUGUAACCACACCAGUAACUGGCUAGAACCAAGAGCUCCAAAGCUACACAGACAGGUUCCAGUCCUGCUUCUGCCUCCCCUGCUCAGUGCCUGUGUUCACCCAUGGGCAAACCAAGCUCUAAAUAGGAUGAAGCAUGGCAACUACUCAGCACAGUAUCUGGUACAGAGUAAGCCCUCAGAAAUGAUAGUAUUAUUAUUAACAAUAGUAUUAUUCAUCCGAAGUACCUGGGGCUGCGUAUAUCUCAGUUCUCUUUUCCUCCUGGGCAAUUUCCAUUUUCUAAACCGAAGUCCUGCUUUUUCAGCAAGGAAACUGCUAAAUGCUCCCGCAUCAGCGUGUAUGUCUGUGUGUGCGUCUGUGUGUGUGUGUGUGUGUAGGGGCAAGGGGCUCAAGUGUUGGAAGUGGCCCAGCGCGUGUGUGUGUAUGUGUGUAGGGGCUGGGGGGCUUAAAUGUUGCAGGUGGUGCAACGUGUGUGUGUGUGUGUGUGUGUGUCUAAGGGCUGGGGGCUCAAGUGUUGGAAGUGGUGCAGCGUGUGUGUUUGUGUGUGUGUGUUUGCGUGCGUGUAUGGGUGUGUGUAAGGGCUGGGGGCUCAGGCACUGGAGGUGGCUCCGCGUGUGUGUGUGUGUUCAGGGGCUGGGGGCUCAACUGUCAGAGGUGGCCCAGAGGCCGGUUAGAGACUGGGAGGGAGGGCAGAGGCAAGAGAGUCAGCGGGUGCUCUCGCGAGAGUUCACCGAGUUGGUAAAGUUAUUAAAACACAAAAUACACAUUUGCACCAGGAAAAAAAACAACCCCCCGCUUGUCCCGCCCUGUCCCUCCAGGCUGCGCAACGCUGGAGGGCGAUGGGAGCGCGAGACAGAGCUUCUCGCCUUGUAAACAGCGUGUUGGCACGUGUGGAAGCCGAGCCAUGCAGCUCCGUCUCUGGCUUCUGCAAAGCGGCAUGAGGCCUGCUGUUGGUGUGCAGGGGAGUGCAGGCCAACCACACCCCAGGAAUGGGAAACCUUCUUUCGCUCCCAGGAGAGGCUGUGGCAGAGCCAGAGCUAGACUGUGCCUUUACAGAGCAUUUGCUUCUUAUGAACCUGCUCCAAAAUCACUGAUGAGCUCACAAAAGAGAAGCCAUAAAUCAGCAGGCUGGGGCUGGGUCCUUUGCUCACAGCAGGCAGAAGAUGCACCAUGGACCUCCCUCCAAAGGCCCUUUCACCACCACAUUAUCUAUCCUGCCUUCCCACCUUCCCACUGGUCCUGCAGCAGCCCAGCUCCCCAGCUCCUGGAGGCCUGGCGGGUGUCUGCCAUUCAUAUGGUUAAGCUUCCCCAGACCUGCCCGUGUGGGCCCCACCUUGCCACUCCCACCUGUCUGCUCCCAGGACAGCAAUUGUGCAAGAAGCCCCACAGGUGAGCGGGCAGAAGGGCGACAGCCAAAGAGCCUCUCUGCCACGACGCUGGGGCGGGGAGGCUACCUGGCAGCCACUGGAGCGUGGUGACGUGGGCAUGAAGCCUGAGCACCCAGCUCAUCAGAUGACAGAAAGCCUCGGGUAAGAAGAGACCUCCGUGGGAUGCAGUGAUGCCACAGUAGAGGCCUGCUAAGUACCCAGAAGAGUCACUUUAUGUGGGUAUAGACCCUGAGCAUGACUGCACCCACUUGGUCAGCUGUCCAGGCCACGGUCCCUCUGAGGCAAAUCUCGACUUUUCUCCACGUGCCAAAAGAAAACCAUAAUCUGACCGCUGAAGAAAUGGAAAGUGGUGUAGCUUUGACUGAAGCUUUCCUGGGGAAAUGGAAGAGGGGGUUACGUCAAAUACUACAGGGUUUCUGGAAGUCUCUUGUACAUAUCCAUGACCCCACUCCUCCUGCAGCUGCUGCUUCCUCCCUUUGGUGUACCCCAACAACCUCGCCUGCCGUCUCUCCUUUCUCCUGGUUCUGUGUCCCUCUCAGCUGCCCCUCAAAAACCCUUCAACUUCCACAUCUCACUCUGCAAAGCGGGAGGGGUGACUCUUGGCAACGUAGAAGUCUAGUUAGCAAAUUGCAGAGCAAAAGCAAGUCUGGGAAGCCUUAUGUCACCCAUUAAUAUACCCAUUGUUUUUUAAUUUAUUCAUUUUAAAAGUAUUAUAUGUUUUACUCAAACAGAAAGUGAUAGAUCCCAUGUACUGGCCAAUCUGAUCUGACCAAUUUUAACAUUUUCCCCUAUCUUUUCUUUGGAUCUCCCAUUCUCUUUCUCUCUCCCUGACCCUUCUCUCUCUUUUUCUCUCUCUAAAACAUAUUAUAUGGAAGGUAAAGCCCCAAAGGCCAUUUCUAUUAUAUUUUCUCCAUGUCUAGAAUCAGCCCUAUGCAUGUCUGGUGCCAUUUGGUCUGAAUCCAGGAUGGCACUGUGCUUAUGAGCACAGACUUGGAAGCCAGCCUGGCUCUCAGUUCCAACUCUGCACCAACUAGCUGAGUAACCUGGAAGAAGUUGCUUAACUUUGCUCUGCCUCAGUCAAAUAAGAAAGAGGAUAGUAAAUCAAUUCUAUGUGCAAUCAUCAAAUGUUGAUACAUUUAAAGUGUCUGGAGCAGAGCCUGGAAAAAAAUAAAUGCUUAAUAUAUAUUAACUAUUAUUAUGAUCCAUGAAUAAUAAACAGAAUGGCUUUUUGGUGUGUUUUUAAGAUUUGUCUAAAG
This 2869-nucleotide long non-coding RNA is filed under the name Rhinopithecus bieti (black snub-nosed monkey). RNAcentral describes it as "lncRNA (ENSRBIG00000045521.1)". Lineage: Eukaryota; Metazoa; Chordata; Mammalia; Primates; Cercopithecidae. The record is from RNAcentral.